This 915-nucleotide ribosomal RNA is filed under the name uncultured archaeon. RNAcentral's name for it is "bacterial SSU rRNA". It matches the Rfam family "Archaeal small subunit ribosomal RNA", at positions 1 to 923 of the family's 1478-position model. The record is from RNAcentral.
UUCCGGUUGAUCCUGCCGCCGGACACUGCUAUCAGGUUUCGGCUAAGCCAUGCGAGUCUAGGGAUCGCAAGAUACCGGCAUACUGCUCAGUAACACGCGGAUAAUCUGCCCCCAGGUGAAGAAUACCCUCGGGAAACUGAGGCUAAUACUUCAUAAUCACUAUAUGCUGGAAUGCUUUGGUGAUGAAAGAAUUUCGCCUGAGGAUGAGUCUGCGGCCUAUCAGGUCGUAUGUGGUGUAAUGGACCACAUAGCCUAAGACGGGUACGGGCCUUGAAAGAGGGAGCCCGGAGAUGGACUCUGAGACAUUAGUCCAGGCCCUACGGGGCGCAGCAGGCGCGAACACUGUGCAAUGCGCGAAAGCGCGACACGGGGAGCUUGAGUGUCUUGGCAUAGCCAAGACUUUUCUCAUUCCUAAAAAGCAUGAGGAAUAAGUGCUGGGUAAGACGGGUGCCAGCCGCCGCGGUAACACCCGCAGCACAAGAGGUGGUCACUUUUAUUGAGCCUAAAGCGUUCGUAGCCGGUUUUGCAAAUCUUUAGAUAAAGCCUGAAGCUUAACUCCAGAAAGUCUGAAGAGACUGCAAGACUUGAGAUCGGGUGAGGUUAAACGUGCUUUCGGGGUAGGGGUAAAAUCCUGUAAUCCCGGAAGGACGACCAGUGGCGAAAGCGUUUAACUAGAACGAAUCUGACGGUAAGGAACGAAGGCUAGGGUAGCAAACCGGAUUAGAUACCCGGGUAGUCCUAGCUGUAAACACUGCCCAUUUGAUGUUGCUUUUCCGUUGAGGGAAGGCAGUGUCGGAGCGAAGGUGUUAAAUGGGCCGCUUGGGAAGUAUGGUCGCAAGACUGAAACUUAAAGGAAUUGGCGGGGGAGCACCGCAACGGGAGGAAUGUGCGGUUUAAUUGGAUUCAACGCCGGGA